RNAcentral lists this transfer RNA (68 nucleotides) under Oryctolagus cuniculus (rabbit). It matches the Rfam family "tRNA". From Rfam's summary of the family: Transfer RNA (tRNA) molecules are approximately 80 nucleotides in length. The record is from Rfam by way of RNAcentral. Lineage: Eukaryota; Metazoa; Chordata; Mammalia; Lagomorpha; Leporidae.
GGCACUGUGGCACAGCGGGUUAAUGCGCUGGCCUGAAGCGCCAGCAUCCCAUAUGGGCGCCGGUGCUA